AUUUAAAUAGUUUAAAAAAAAUUUUGAAGUGUGGAUUCAAAGAUGUAUUAAAUACUUUAAAUU
Molecule: transfer RNA, 63 nt
Filed under: Osmia bicornis (red mason bee)
Lineage: Eukaryota; Metazoa; Arthropoda; Insecta; Hymenoptera; Megachilidae
Description: tRNA-His
Source: RNAcentral